Molecule: ribosomal RNA, 505 nt
Filed under: Scheffersomyces shehatae
Lineage: Eukaryota; Fungi; Ascomycota; Pichiomycetes; Serinales; Debaryomycetaceae
Description: eukaryotic LSU rRNA
Rfam family: Eukaryotic large subunit ribosomal RNA
Source: RNAcentral
UCUGGCACCUUCGGUGUCCGAGUUGUAAUUUGAAGAAGGUAACUUUGGAGUUGGCUCUUGUCUAUGUUCCUUGGAACAGGACGUCACAGAGGGUGAGAAUCCCGUGCGAUGAGAUGUCCAACUCUAUGUAAAGUGCUUUCGAAGAGUCGAGUUGUUUGGGAAUGCAGCUCUAAGUGGGUGGUAAAUUCCAUCUAAAGCUAAAUAUUGGCGAGAGACCGAUAGCGAACAAGUACAGUGAUGGAAAGAUGAAAAGAACUUUGAAAAGAGAGUGAAAAAGUACGUGAAAUUGUUGAAAGGGAAGGGUUUGAGAUCAGACUUGGUAUUUUGUAUGUCUUGCUUUCGGGUGGGGCCUCUGCAGUUUACUGGGCCAGCAUCGGUUUGGACGGUAGGAUAAUGACAUUGGAAUGUGGCACUACUUCGGUGGUGUGUUAUAGACUUUGUUGAUACUGCCUGUCUAGACCGAGGACUGCGUCUUUGACUAGGAUGCUGGCAUAAUGAUCCUAAA